Molecule: ribosomal RNA, 440 nt
Filed under: uncultured bacterium
Lineage: Bacteria
Description: partial 16S ribosomal RNA
Rfam family: Bacterial small subunit ribosomal RNA
Source: RNAcentral
CCUACGGGUGGCAGCAGUGGGGAAUAUUGCACAAUGGGGGAAACCCUGAUGCAGCGACGCCGCGUGAGGGAAGAAGGAAUUCGUUACGUAAAGCUCUAUCAUCAGGGAGGAAAAUGACGGUACCUGAGUAAUAAGCCCCGGCUAACUACGUGCCAGCAGCCGCGGUAAUACGUAGGGGGCAAGCGUUAUCCGGAUUUACUGGGUGUAAAGGGGGCGUAGACGGUUCGCAAAGUCUGGAGGGAAAUGCCGCAGCGGAACUGUGUAACUGCUUUGGAAACUGGCGAACUAGAGUGCGGGAGGGGUAAGCGGAAUUCCUAGUGUAGCGGUGAAAUGCGUAGAUAUUAGGAGGAACACCGGUGGCGAAGGCGGCUUACUGGACCGUAACUGACGUUGAGGCUCGAAAGCGUGGGGAGCAAACAGGAUUAGAUACCCGAGUAGUC